UACGUAGGGUGCAAGCGUUAUCCGGAAUUAUUGGGCGUAAAGAGCUUGUAGGCGGUUUGUCGCGUCUGCCGUGAAAGUCCGGGGCUCAACUCCGGAUCUGCGGUGGGUACGGGCAGACUAGAGUGAUGUAGGGGAGACUGGAAUUCCUGGUGUAGCGGUGAAAUGCGCAGAUAUCAGGAGGAACACCGAUGGCGAAGGCAGGUCUCUGGGCAUUAACUGACGCUGAGGAGCGAAAGCAUGGGGAGCGAACAGG
Molecule: ribosomal RNA, 253 nt
Filed under: uncultured bacterium
Lineage: Bacteria
Description: partial 16S ribosomal RNA
Rfam family: Bacterial small subunit ribosomal RNA
Source: RNAcentral